Molecule: ribosomal RNA, 497 nt
Filed under: uncultured bacterium
Lineage: Bacteria
Description: partial 16S ribosomal RNA
Rfam family: Bacterial small subunit ribosomal RNA
Source: RNAcentral
GAUGAACGUUGGCGUCGUGCCUAAUACAUGCAAGUCAAGCGAACAGACGAGGAGCUUGCUCCUCUGACGUUAGUGGCGGACGGGUGAGUAACAUGUGGAUAACCGACCUAUUAGACUGGGAUAACUUCGGGAAACUGGAGCUGAUACCGGAUACUAUACUGAACCGCAUGGUUCAAUAGUGAAAGACGGUUUUGCUGUGCCUUAUAGAUUGAUCCGCGCCGCAUUGGCUAGUUGGUAAGGUAACGGCCUACCAAGGCAACGAUGCGUAGCCGACCUGAGAGGGUGAUCCGCCACACUGGAACUGAGACACGGUCCAGAAUCCUACGUGAGGCAGCAGUAGGGAAUCUUCCGCAAUGGGCGAAAGCUUGACGGAGCAACGCCGCGUGAGUGAUGAAGGUCUUCGGAUCGUAAAACUCUGUUAUUAGGGAAGAACAAAUGUGUAAGUAACUAUGCACGUCUUGACGGUACCUAAUCAGAAAGCCACGGCUAACUACGUG